GGACUACCGGGGUUUCUAAUCCUGUUUGCUCCCCUUGCUUUCGCGCCUCAGCGUCAGUCAUAGCCCAGAAAACCGUCUUCACCACCGGUGUUCUUCCACAUAUCUACGCAUUUCACCGCUACACGUGGAAUUCCGUUCCCCCUAGCUACCCUCUAGCUCAAAUGUCUCAAAUGCAGCUACGAGGUUGAGCCUCGUAAUUUCACAUCUGACUCUCUAAACCGCCUGCGCGCCCUUUACGCCCAGUAAUUCCGAUCAAUGCUUGCACCCUCCGUAUUACCGCGGCUGCUGGCAC
RNAcentral lists this ribosomal RNA (292 nucleotides) under uncultured bacterium. RNAcentral's name for it is "partial 16S ribosomal RNA". The record is from RNAcentral.